This 460-nucleotide ribosomal RNA is filed under the name uncultured bacterium. RNAcentral describes it as "partial 16S ribosomal RNA". It matches the Rfam family "Bacterial small subunit ribosomal RNA", at positions 338 to 795 of the family's 1533-position model. The record is from RNAcentral.
CCUACGGGUGGCAGCAGUGAGGAAUAUUGGUCAAUGGGCGCAAGCCUGAACCAGCCAAGUCGCGUGAGGGAAGACGGCCCUACGGGUUGUAAACCUCUUUUGCCGGGGAGCAAGCCUGAGCACGUGUGCCCAGGCGGAGAGUACCCGGAGAAAAAGCAUCGGCUAACUCCGUGCCAGCAGCCGCGGUAAUACGGAGGAUGCGAGCGUUAUCCGGAUUUAUUGGGUUUAAAGGGUGCGCAGGCGGAGGUGCAAGUCAGCGGUCAAAUUGCGGGGCUCAACCCCGUACUGCCGUUGAAACUGCAUCCCUUGAGUGCGCGAGAAGUAUGCGGAAUGCGUGGUGUAGCGGUGAAAUGCAUAGAUAUCACGCAGAACUCCGAUUGCGAAGGCAGCAUACCGGCGCGCAACUGACGCUCAUGCACGAAAGCGUGGGUAUCGAACAGGAUUAGAUACCCUUGUAGUC